CAAACAGAACAGCUCUCAAGGAUCUGUUGGACUCAGACAACUAUAGCAUAUCUAAUAAAAGAAGAACUGUAUGCACCAUUCUAAGAACACAAGGAAACUGAGGACAGUUUCCCAGAAGACAUCAUCUCUAAGAUUGGUUCAAAAGCUGAAAUCUGGACAUGGUGGCUGUCCACUAUAAUCUCAACACUUAAGAGGCUGAGGUGGGAGAAUUGCUAUGAGUUUCUCUCGCUUGGAGACUGGCUGAGCAAGCCUGGGAGCUGGAAAACCAUGGCAGCCUAGUGGCCUAGUGAAGCCCUGAAGGACCCUCAACCCUGGGCUUGAGCUGGGACACAUAGGGACACCUUCCUACAGUGUGCUCUCUAGCCCUUUGAAGAACUCCUGAUCUGAGAUGGUUUCGUGUGAAAUUCAUGAGAUUCACCUGAUAACAACUCUGAGUUCCACUCUACCUCACUGACCUCUCUUUUCUGUUCGGUGUUCUUCAGGUUUGUUGGGUUUAAAAAAACAAAAACAAAAACAUGAAUGUGUGAAUAAAGAGCAUGAAGUUUA
Molecule: long non-coding RNA, 546 nt
Organism: Peromyscus eremicus (cactus mouse)
Lineage: Eukaryota; Metazoa; Chordata; Mammalia; Rodentia; Cricetidae
Exons: 2
Source: RefSeq, a predicted model, not a curated record